GGGCACAUGGUGUAGUUGGUUAUCACGCCCGCUUAGCAUUCUGCGUCUGCGGGUGGUCCCCGGUUCAAUUCCGGGUGUGUCCA
RNAcentral lists this transfer RNA (83 nucleotides) under Sphagnurus paluster. Its description in RNAcentral is "Tephrocybe palustris tRNA". It matches the Rfam family "tRNA". From Rfam's summary of the family: Transfer RNA (tRNA) molecules are approximately 80 nucleotides in length. Their secondary structure includes four short double-helical elements and three loops (D, anti-codon, and T loops). The record is from Rfam by way of RNAcentral. Lineage: Eukaryota; Fungi; Basidiomycota; Agaricomycetes; Agaricales; Lyophyllaceae.